RNAcentral lists this ribosomal RNA (1372 nucleotides) under uncultured bacterium. RNAcentral describes it as "bacterial SSU rRNA". It matches the Rfam family "Bacterial small subunit ribosomal RNA", at positions 28 to 1381 of the family's 1533-position model. The record is from RNAcentral.
GAUGAACGCUGGCGGCGUGCCUAAUACAUGCAAGUCGAGCGAACGGACGAGAAGCUUGCUUCUCUGAUGUUAGCGGCGGACGGGUGAGUAACACGUGGAUAACCUACCUAUAAGACUGGGAUAACUUCGGGAGACCGGAGCUAAUACCGGAUAAUAUUUUGAACCGCAUGGUUCAAAAGUGAAAGACGGUCUUGCUGUCACUUAUAGAUGGAUCCGCGCUGCAUUAGCUAGUUGGUAAGGUAACGGCUUACCAAGGCAACGAUGCAUAGCCGACCUGAGAGGGUGAUCGGCCACACUGGAACUGAGACACGGUCCAGACUCCUACGGGAGGCAGCAGUAGGGAAUCUUCCGCAAUGGGCGAAAGCCUGACGGAGCAACGCCGCGUGAGUGAUGAAGGUCUUCGGAUCGUAAAACUCUGUUAUUAGGGAAGAACAUAUGUGUAAGUAACUGUGCACAUCUUGACGGUACCUAAUCAGAAAGCCACGGCUAACUACGUGCCAGCAGCCGCGGUAAUACGUAGGUGGCAAGCGUUAUCCGGAAUUAUUGGGCGUAAAGCGCGCGUAGGCGGUUUUUUAAGUCUGAUGUGAAAGCCCACGGCUCAACCGUGGAGGGUCAUUGGAAACUGGAAAACUUGAGUGCAGAAGAGGAAAGUGGAAUUCCAUGUGUAGCGGUGAAAUGCGCAGAGAUAUGGAGGAACACCAGUGGCGAAGGCGACUUUCUGGUCUGUAACUGACGCUGAUGUGCGAAAGCGUGGGGAUCAAACAGGAUUAGAUACCCUGGUAGUCCACGCCGUAAACGAUGAGUGCUAAGUGUUAGGGGGUUUCCGCCCCUUAGUGCUGCAGCUAACGCAUUAAGCACUCCGCCUGGGGAGUACGACCGCAAGGUUGAAACUCAAAGGAAUUGACGGGGACCCGCACAAGCGGUGGAGCAUGUGGUUUAAUUCGAAGCAACGCGAAGAACCUUACCAAAUCUUGACAUCCUUUGACAACUCUAGAGAUAGAGCCUUCCCCUUCGGGGGACAAAGUGACAGGUGGUGCAUGGUUGUCGUCAGCUCGUGUCGUGAGAUGUUGGGUUAAGUCCCGCAACGAGCGCAACCCUUAAGCUUAGUUGCCAUCAUUAAGUUGGGCACUCUAAGUUGACUGCCGGUGACAAACCGGAGGAAGGUGGGGAUGACGUCAAAUCAUCAUGCCCCUUAUGAUUUGGGCUACACACGUGCUACAAUGGACAAUACAAAGGGCAGCGAAACCGCGAGGUCAAGCAAAUCCCAUAAAGUUGUUCUCAGUUCGGAUUGUAGUCUGCAACUCGACUACAUGAAGCUGGAAUCGCUAGUAAUCGUAGAUCAGCAUGCUACGGUGAAUACGUUCCCGGGUCU